GGCUGAUCGCGAAUGGGAGAGAGGCUGCAGACGUGGAGGGAAGGAAGAUGAACUCAUCCGUGGAGGGAAGAAACCUUGAAUCACGGAUGGUGGCUGGCUGUGAUUCACGAACGUGAAGAAUCUGGAAGAAGCUGAUCACGGAUGUGGUUGAAUGCUGGGAUAAGGAUUUGUGAUAAGCUGUUGUUUUGAUCCGUGAUGAGCUGCAUCUGCUGGGAGGAUGCGGAGAAAAUCUCGGAUGCGGAAGGAGGAUAAACUCUGUUCUGUUUCCGAAACAGGGGAAGAGGAUGAAUCUUUGAUGGUUGGGGCUUAUCCAUGGAGGGGAUGAAGCUGGCUUCAUGCGGAUGAAGGAUGAGAUAAAGAUGAAUCUAUUGGAUGGAUGCUAAGCUGUUAAUCUGAAUGCUAGGAGGUUUGGGGAUCUGGCGGAAGAAGAGGAAUACGUGGGAGAAGAACAUGGGACGUUGGGAUGCUGUUCUCGGCUGAGAGAUGGUUUGGUUCGGAAGAGGGAAGACACGCGGAUAGGAGGAAUCCAGAAGCAAGGAAUCACGGAGAAGAUGGGCACAGGCGCGAGGGAUUCGGAAGAGAUGAAGCUGGGAGAUGAGUGGAUCACGGGAGGAUGAACUUGAUUCGGUUGGGAACAGGGGAGAUGAUCCUUCAGCUGGGAACGGGAAGAUAAUGCUUUGCUGGGAGAACAAUGCGGAAGGGAAUAAAAAA
This 711-nucleotide long non-coding RNA is filed under the name Phoenix dactylifera (date palm). RNAcentral describes it as "long non-coding RNA (PDAC_LNC009254)". The record is from RNAcentral. Lineage: Eukaryota; Viridiplantae; Streptophyta; Magnoliopsida; Arecales; Arecaceae.